Molecule: ribosomal RNA, 433 nt
Filed under: uncultured bacterium
Lineage: Bacteria
Description: partial 16S ribosomal RNA
Rfam family: Bacterial small subunit ribosomal RNA
Source: RNAcentral
AACGAACGCUGGCCGCAUGCCUAACACAUGCAAGUCGAACGAGACCUUCGGGUCUAGUGGCGCACGGGUGCGUAACGCGUGGGAACCUGCCCUUAGGUUCGGAAUAACUCCCCGAAAGGGGUGCUAAUACCGGAUAAUGUCUUCGGACCAAAGAUUUAUCGCCUUUGGAUGGGCCCGCGUUGGAUUAGCUAGUUGGUAGGGUAAAAGCCUACCAAGGCGACGAUCCAUAGCUGGUCUGAGAGGAUGAUCAGCCACACUGGGACUGAGACACGGCCCAGACUCCUACGGGAGGCAGCAGUGGGGAAUAUUGGACAAUGGGCGAAAGCCUGAUCCAGCAAUGCCGCGUGAGUGAUGAAGGCCUUAGGGUUGUAAAGCUCUUUUACCCGGGAUGAUAAUGACAGUACCGGGAGAAUAAGCGCCGGCUAACUCCGUG